UCUGUGAUUUGUCUUGCAGCCUGAACUGCUAUGAGAGCUGUUAUUAAUAAUUACUCAACACCUUCUGACCAAUCAGAAUCAAACAUAUAAUAUUGCUGUGGUAUCAAUAGUGCUAUAAUCAUUUAUAGCAUAAGAUAUAAUGUGAUUGUAGUGAGUUCUACACAGAAUUUGUAAUGAUGUUUAUUUCUAAAUUUGGACAGAUAUGACAGAAGACUAUGAUGACGCAGUUCCCACUGGAAUAAUCCCAAAUACUAUAACAGACACACUAGAGGACUAUGAUGACGUCAUCACUGCUGGACAAGAUGUAGAAGAUGCAGAAGAUUAUGAUGACGUGGAACAGCUUCAGAAAGACUGAGAAAUACCCCCAAAUGCAUUUUCUCAGGAAAUUACCUUGAGAAUUCAAUGAACUUAACAGAUACUUUCAAUUUACCAUAGCUCUCAGUUCAUAUCAUUGUAUGCUUCCUGAACAUUUCUCACUUCAACUUUAGAUAUAGUAUCUAAAAUUUUGUAACUAUGGACAAAACAACUCUAGUUUUGUUUACCGAAAUGUCACCAAAUUUCAUUUAUAUUCUCUUUGAAUCAGAUUUAGUAAAGUCACUUGUUAAAAAUCUUCACAUGGCUACACUGAAUAAUGUUAUUUAGAAAGAAAAUUGUACACAGCUCAUUUAUGCAGCCAAUUAGCCUAUUAAAGCCUGAUUUGGUGUUUUGAUGAUGAUGAUGAUGAUGAUGGUGUUGCUUGCUCCAGACAUGUCGCUCCAAAAUCUCCCAUAGGUGUUCAUUUGGGUUGAGUUCUGUUUACUGUGAAGGCCAUAGCAUAUGAUUUACAUAAUUUCCAUCCUCAUAAAACCAUUCAGUGAGCCCCGUGGAUGGGGGCGGACCACUCUGAUCAGGAUAGAAAUAUUUCAUCAUAGUAUCAUAAAGUAAAGGUCAGUAAGAAGAACUUUGUGCUGAUUUGUAGUGAAGAUUACCUCUAAGGGGACAAGUGGAACCAAACCAUGGCAGAAAAAAGUGCUUCCUUACAGCAUAAUAGAGCCUUUAAUUUAUCACCCAUCUGUACUGACUGGCCUGCAGGUUUAUGUACUAAACCUCAAAUUGAGUAACUAAUGGAACGUUUUGAUAUUUUGAGAUGAAAUAACACAUCAUUCAGGUAAAAUAAGGCAAGAUGAUCUUUAUCUGUACACAAGAAGUUGAAUUGUAACACAGUAGCGUCUUGUAUAUAAUAGUAUACAGUCACCGUAUAAAAUAUAUGGGCAGACAUACAAAUGUGCAUAUAAAUAUAGUAUAUAAUAAAAUAGAAAUUUUCAUGUUUGUCGAUAACGCA
This is a long non-coding RNA of Ictalurus furcatus (blue catfish), 1321 nucleotides long. RefSeq lists it as uncharacterized. The transcript is spliced from 3 exons. The record is from RefSeq and is a predicted model, not a curated record. NCBI's taxonomy places the organism in Eukaryota, Metazoa, Chordata, Actinopteri, Siluriformes, Ictaluridae.